GACGAACGCUGGCGGCGUGCUUAACACAUGCAAGUCGAACGAAGAGCGAUGGAAGCUUGCUUCUAUCAAUCUUAGUGGCGAACGGGUGAGUAACGCGUAAUCAACCUGCCCUUCAGAGGGGGACAACAGUUGGAAACGACUGCUAAUACCGCAUACGAUCUAACCUCGGCAUCGAGGAUAGAUGAAAGGUGGCCUCUAUUUAUAAGCUAUCACUGAAGGAGGGGAUUGCGUCUGAUUAGCUAGUUGGAGGGGUAACGGCCCACCAAGGCGAUGAUCAGUAGCCGGUCUGAGAGGAUGAACGGCCACAUUGGGACUGAGACACGGCCCAGACUCCUACGGGAGGCAGCAGUGGGGAAUCUUCCGCAAUGGACGAAAGUCUGACGGAGCAACGCCGCGUGAGUGAUGACGGCCUUCGGGUUGUAAAGCUCUGUUAAUCGGGACGAAAGGCCUUCUUGCGAAUAGUUAGAAGGAUUGACG
Molecule: ribosomal RNA, 477 nt
Filed under: Veillonella dispar
Lineage: Bacteria; Bacillati; Bacillota; Negativicutes; Veillonellales; Veillonellaceae
Description: bacterial SSU rRNA
Rfam family: Bacterial small subunit ribosomal RNA
Source: RNAcentral